GGUUUUUUGGGGGAUGAUAAGAAAUCUAGCCUGCCCAAUGAGUGGUGAGCUUUAAUGGCCGCGGUAUUUUGACCGUGCUAAGGUAGCAUAAUAAUUAGUCUUGUGAUUUGGGACUGGAAUGAAAGGCUGGACGAGGGAAAUUCUGUUUCUGAGAUAGAAAUUGAAAUUGGUUUUGUUGUGAAAAGGCAACAAGUGGGCUAAGGGACGAGAAGACCCUAUUAAGUUUUACAGGAUUAGCUGUAAGUUUUUUAUAUGGGGAGGCUUAUUGGUUUAGAUUUUGUUUUGCUGGGGCGGUGCUGAUUAGAGGAGAUCUUUUGGUAAGGAAAAGGGGAUUGUGAGACUUAGGGAGCCAGGAUGUUGGUUUUGAUAUGUGGAUUAAAUUACUAUAGGGAUAACAGCGUAAUAUUGUUGGAGAGUUCAUAUUGAUAACAAAUUUUGCGACCUCGAUGUUGAAUUAAAAUUCCUGUUUGGUGUAGGGGCUAGAUAAGGUGGUCUGUUCGACCAAUAAUUUUUUACA
Molecule: ribosomal RNA, 517 nt
Filed under: Paraphrynus sp. 1 PAC-2020
Lineage: Eukaryota; Metazoa; Arthropoda; Arachnida; Amblypygi; Phrynidae
Description: partial large subunit ribosomal RNA
Rfam family: Bacterial large subunit ribosomal RNA
Source: RNAcentral